UGGGGAAUAUUGCACAAUGGGCGCAAGCCUGAUGCAGCGACGCCGCGUGCGGGAUGACGGCCUUCGGGUUGUAAACCGCUUUUGAUCGGGAGCAAGCCUUCGGGUGAGUGUACCUUUCGAAUAAGCACCGGCUAACUACGUGCCAGCAGCCGCGGUAAUACGUAGGGUGCAAGCGUUAUCCGGAAUUAUUGGGCGUAAAGGGCUCGUAGGCGGUUCGUCGCGUCCGGUGUGAAAGUCCAUCGCUUAACGGUGGAUCUGCGCCGGGUGCGGGCGGGCUGGAGUGCGGUAGGGGAGACUGGAAUUCCCGGUGUAACGGUGGAAUGUGUAGAUAUCGGGAAGAACACCAAUGGCGAAGGCAGGUCUCUGGGCCGUUACUGACGCUGAGGAGCGAAAGCGUGGGGAGCGAACAGGAUUAGAUACCCUGGUAGUCCACGCCGUAAACGGUGGAUGCUGGAUGUGGGGCCCGUUCCACGGGUUCCGUGUCGGAGCUAACGCGUUAAGCAUCCCGCCUGGGGAGUACGGCCGCAAGGCUAAAACUCAAAGAAAUUGACGGGGGCCCGCACAAGCGGCGGAGCAUGCGGAUUAAUUCGAUGCAACGCGAAGAACCUUACCUGGGCUUGACAUGUUCCCGACAGCCGUAGAGAUGCGGCCUCCCUUCGGGGCGGGUUCACAGGUGGUGCAUGGUCGUCGUCAGCUCGUGUCGUGAGAUGUUGGGUUAAGUCCCGCAACGAGCGCAACCCUCGCCCUGUGUUGCCAGCACGUCAUGGUGGGAACUCACGGGGGACCGCCGGGGUCAACUCGGAGGAAGGUGGGGAUGACGUCAGAUCAUCAUGCCCCUUACGUCCAGGGCUUCACGCAUGCUACAAUGGCCGGUACAACGGGAUGCGACAUGGCGACAUGGAGCGGAUCCCUGAAAACCGGUCUCAGUUCGGAUUGGAGUCUGCAACCCGACUCCAUGAAGGCGGAGUCGCUAGUAAUCGCGGAUCAGCAACGCCGCGGUGAAUGCGUUCCC
RNAcentral lists this ribosomal RNA (1012 nucleotides) under uncultured bacterium. RNAcentral describes it as "bacterial SSU rRNA". It matches the Rfam family "Bacterial small subunit ribosomal RNA", at positions 355 to 1375 of the family's 1533-position model. The record is from RNAcentral.